ACGUAGGGGGCAAGCGUUGUCCGGAAUUACUGGGCGUAAAGCGCACGAAGGCGGUUCGUUAAGUCGGAUGUGAAAGAUCGGGGAUCAACCCCGGUUUGCGUUCGAUAAUGGCGGACUGGAGUGUCGGAGAGGGAAGUGGAAUUCCCGGUGUAGCGGUGAAAGGCGUAGAUAUCGGGAGAAACACCAGUGGCGAAGGCGGCUUCCUGGCCGACAACUGACGCUCAUCUUCGAAAUCUGUGGAAGCAAACGA
Molecule: ribosomal RNA, 250 nt
Filed under: uncultured prokaryote
Description: partial 16S rRNA
Rfam family: Bacterial small subunit ribosomal RNA
Source: RNAcentral